UACAGAGGGUGCAAGCGUUAAUCGGAAUUACUGGGCGUAAAGCGUGCGCAGACGGUUGCGUAAGUCAGAUGUGAAAGCCCCGGGCUCAACCUGGGAAUUGCAUUUGAGACUGCGUAGCUAGGGUGCGGAAGAGGGAAGCGGAAUUUCCGGUGUAGCGGUGAAAUGCGUAGAUAUCGGAAGGAACACCAGUGGCGAAAGCGGCUUCCUGGUCCAGCACCGACGUUCAGGCACGAAAGCGUGGGGAGCGAACAGG
Molecule: ribosomal RNA, 253 nt
Filed under: uncultured bacterium
Lineage: Bacteria
Description: partial 16S ribosomal RNA
Rfam family: Bacterial small subunit ribosomal RNA
Source: RNAcentral